ACAGACAGAAGGGAGCUUGCUCCCGGAUGUUAGCGGCGGACGGGUGAGUAACACGUGGGUAACCUGCCUGUAAGACUGGGAUAACUCCGGGAAACCGGAGCUAAUACCGGAUAGUUCCUUGAACCGCAUGGUUCAAGGAUGAAAGACGGUUUCGGCUGUCACUUACAGAUGGACCCGCGGCGCAUUAGCUAGUUGGUGGGGUAAUGGCUCACCAAGGCGACGAUGCGUAGCCGACCUGAGAGGGUGAUCGGCCACACUGGGACUGAGACACGGCCCAGACUCCUACGGGAGGCAGCAGUAGGGAAUCUUCCGCAAUGGACGAAAGUCUGACGGAGCAACGCCGCGUGAGUGAUGAAGGUUUUCGGAUCGUAAAGCUCUGUUGUUAGGGAAGAACAAGUGCGAGAGUAACUGCUCGCACCUUGACGGUACCUAACCAGAAAGCCACGGCUAACUACGUGCCAGCAGCCGCGGUAAUACGUAGGUGGCAAGCGUUGUCCGGAAUUAUUGGGCGUAAAGGGCUCGCAGGCGGUUUCUUAAGUCUGAUGUGAAAGCCCCCGGCUCAACCGGGGAGGGUCAUUGGAAACUGGGAAACUUGAGUGCAGAAGAGGAGAGUGGAAUUCCACGUGUAGCGGUGAAAUGCGUAAAGAUGUGGAGGAACACCAGUGGCUAAGGCGACUCUCUCGUCUUUGACUGACACUGAUAGGAAAAGAGCGGGAAGAAAGAG
This 724-nucleotide ribosomal RNA is filed under the name Bacillus zhangzhouensis. RNAcentral describes it as "bacterial SSU rRNA". It matches the Rfam family "Bacterial small subunit ribosomal RNA", at positions 69 to 774 of the family's 1533-position model. Lineage: Bacteria; Bacillati; Bacillota; Bacilli; Caryophanales; Bacillaceae. The record is from RNAcentral.